UGAUCCUGGCUCAGGAUGAACGCUAGCGGCAGGCUUAACACAUGCAAGUCGAGGGGUAACAUUGUAGCUUGCUACAGAUGACGACCGGCGCACGGGUGCGUAACGCGUAUAGAACUUACCUUUUACAGAGGGAUAGCCUUUAGAAAUGAAGAUUAAUACCUCAUAGUAUUAUUGAUUGGCAUCAAUUAAUAAUUAAAGAUUUAUCGGUAAAAGAUGGCUAUGCGUCCUAUUAGCUAGAUGGUAAGGUAAUGGCUUACCAUGGCUACGAUAGGUAGGGGCCCUGAGAGGGGGAUCCCCCACACUGGUACUGAGACACGGACCAGACUCCUACGGGAGGCAGCAGUGAGGAAUAUUGGGCAAUGGAGGUAACUCUGACCCAGCCAUGCCGCGUGCAGGAAGACUGCCCUAUGGGUUGUAAACUGCUUUUAUACAGGAAGAAACACUCGUACGUGUACGAGCUUGACGGUACUGUAAGAAUAAGGACCGGCUAACUCCGUGCCAGCAGCCGCGGUAAUACGGAGGGUCCGAGCGUUAUCCGGAAUCAUUGGGUUUAAAGGGUCCGCAGGCGGUCAAUUAAGUCAGAGGUGAAAUCCCAUAGCUUAACUAUGGAACUGCCUUUGAUACUGGUUGACUUGAGUCAUAUGGAAGUAGAUAGAAUGUGUAGUGUAGCGGUGAAAUGCAUAGAUAUUACACAGAAUACCGAUUGCGAAGGCAGUCUACUACGUAUGUACUGACGCUCAUGGACGAAAGCGUGGGGAGCGAACAGGAUUAGAUACCCUGGUAGU
This 785-nucleotide ribosomal RNA is filed under the name uncultured marine bacterium. RNAcentral's name for it is "bacterial SSU rRNA". It matches the Rfam family "Bacterial small subunit ribosomal RNA", at positions 14 to 794 of the family's 1533-position model. The record is from RNAcentral.